Molecule: ribosomal RNA, 513 nt
Filed under: uncultured bacterium
Lineage: Bacteria
Description: partial 16S ribosomal RNA
Rfam family: Bacterial small subunit ribosomal RNA
Source: RNAcentral
GACGAACGCUGGCGGCGUGCUUAACACAUGCAAGUCGAACGAAAAGAGGGAAAGAGCUUGCUCUUUCCGGAAUUGAGUGGCAAACGGGUGAGUAACACGUAAACAACCUGCCUUCAGGAUGGGGACAACAGACGGAAACGACUGCUAAUACCGAAUAAGUUCCAAGGGCCGCAUGGCCCAUGGAAGCAAAGUUGGCCUCUACCUGUAAGCUAUCCCCUGCAGAUUGGUUUGCGUCUGAUUAGCUGGUUGGCGGGGUAACGGCCCACCAAAGCGACGAUCAGGAGGCGGUCUGAGAGGAUGAACGGGCAAACUGGGAACGGGACACGGGCCAGACUCCCACGGGAGGCAGCAGUGGGGAAACUUCCGGAAUGGGGGGAAGCCGGAAGGGGCAAAGCCGCGGGAGGGAUGACGGCCGUCGGGUUGGAAAACUCUGGGAUCCGGGACGAAAAGACAGGGUGCGAAGAACAAACUGCAUUGACGGUACCGGAAAAGCAAGCCACGGCUAACUACGUG